This 345-nucleotide ribosomal RNA is filed under the name uncultured bacterium. RNAcentral describes it as "bacterial SSU rRNA". It matches the Rfam family "Bacterial small subunit ribosomal RNA", at positions 29 to 404 of the family's 1533-position model. The record is from RNAcentral.
AACGAACGCUGGCGGCAGGCUUAACACAUGCAAGUCGAGCGCCCCGCAAGGGGAGCGGCAGACGGGUGAGUAACGCGUGGGAACAUACCCUUUGGUUCGGAAUAACUCAGGGAAACUUGAGCUAAUACCGGAUACGUCCGUAAGGAGAAAGAUUUAUCGCCAAAGGAUUGGCCCGCGUCCGAUUAGCUAGUUGGUGAGGUAACGGCUCACCAAGGCUACGAUCGGUAGCUGGUCUGAGAGGAUGAUCAGCCACAUUGGGACUGAGACACGGCCCAAACUCCUACGGGAGGCAGCAGUGGGAAUAUUGGACAAUGGGCGCAAGCCUGAUCCAGCCAUGCCGCGUGA